RNAcentral lists this long non-coding RNA (334 nucleotides) under Daucus carota (carrot). Its description in RNAcentral is "long non-coding RNA (DCAR_LNC006704)". Lineage: Eukaryota; Viridiplantae; Streptophyta; Magnoliopsida; Apiales; Apiaceae. The record is from RNAcentral.
UUGAUGAAAUUGAUUUAUUUCAUUUGUAAUUCGAGUAGUCUUAUGAUUUGGAAAAUACUUUUUAAGAAAAACCACCACAAACCCCUCCCACGUGGAAAUAGAAUUAACGGGAAGACUAUAUAACCAUUUUUUCGCAUUCUCUUUAAGCGCAAAAUUAAUGAGCCUAAGUCUAAUCGAAUCUUCCGUUAAUUGGUGGAGCUUUUGGAGGGAACAAACUUCCUCGAAUUCUUGGAUGAAAAGAUAAGGAUCCUCACCCUCACUCCCGGUAAAUUUAGGUAACAUGCUAAUAUGAUGAGCUUUGAUUUCAAAAUUGUUCCCAUUUACCGGAGGAAGG